GACGAACGCUGGCGGCGUGCUUAACACAUGCAAGUCGAACGGAAAGGCCCUGCUUUUGUGGGGUGCUCGAGUGGCGAACGGGUGAGUAACACGUGAGUAACCUGCCCUUGACUUUGGGAUAACUUCAGGAAACUGGGGCUAAUACCGGAUAGGAGCUCCUGCUGCAUGGUGUGGGUUGGAAAGUUUCUGCGGUUGGGGAUGGACUCGCGGCUUAUCAGCUUGUUGGUGGGGUAGUGGCUUACCAAGGCUCUGACGGGUAGCCGGCCUGAGAGGGUGACCGGCCACAUUGGGACUGAGAUACGGCCCAGACUCCUACGGGAGGCAGCAGUGGGGAAUAUUGCACAAUGGGCGGAAGCCUGAUGCAGCAACGCCGCGUGCGGGAUGACGGCCUUCGGGUUGUAAACCGCUUUCGCCUGUGACGAAGCGUGAGUGACGGUAAUGGGUAAAGAAGCACCGGCUAACUACGUG
RNAcentral lists this ribosomal RNA (468 nucleotides) under uncultured bacterium. RNAcentral's name for it is "partial 16S ribosomal RNA". It matches the Rfam family "Bacterial small subunit ribosomal RNA", at positions 28 to 507 of the family's 1533-position model. The record is from RNAcentral.